GGGAAACCACAAGGGUAAGCUCCCCACGGUGAAGGCGACUGCCUGAGGGAAACCACCAGGAACCAGCAGCAUCACCCCACAGCCCACCAGCAGGACACGUGGCAGGGAAAGCCCACCGCUCGUCCUCCACCAGGGUCUUCUGCUCUCUGCCAGUCACCGAGGGCAAGAGUACAGCGGAUCAGUCUCCUGAACUCAGUUGUCCAAAUCCCGCCUGUGUCAUAUUUUAGUGCGGGGGAGAGGGUUGGGUCUAGCUAUUACCAAUCUUUUGAGAUAUUGCCUCGCUGACACACGCUGUAAAAGUGGUUUUCUAAUACAAUAGAGAUCCUUGUUUUGUCUAGACCCAAUCAGGAGCCACUAAUGAACUUCAUACAUUAAUGACAGAAGUAAGCUCCAUGGGCUGACUGAGAUUGAAUGAGAGAGAGCUGCCCUUUGUUAUGUCUACACAGACGUGCCUUCAAGCAAGCUCGAAGUCUGCCUUGGCGUGCAACCAGCCACCUCAGGGUUGCGUCCAAACCUUUGCUCUUUUCCCGUUAGCGCCGGCCGACUGGUGGGCAAUCCCUGCCGUUGGCAGGGGCAGCUCUGCGGGAGGGAGACGUGAGUCACCAGCCCAGCCUGGCACACGUCCUGCGGGUCCACGACAAACAGCGCAGCUCCGUAGGGUGAAAAAGGGACUUUUGCGCCAGCCUGCCCGGGACCACCCGCCGGGGCUCAAGGGGAGGUGGAAGAGCUCCAGCCCUGGACUUGGCCGUGGGCGCUGCCCACGUGGCAGGAGAUGGCGUGCGUUUCACAUCGGCUGCUCUGGCCCCGUCCUCUGGGAGCGUAACAGCUCAGGAGAGCAAGUUUUAGCGACUUUUCCAUUUUGACACAGGCCAUGCUAAGAGUUCUUGCAGAGCUCCGUGUGAACUAAGCCAUCCUGUCUUCUGCCCAUGCUUCUUCCAAAGUCAAAUUCCCUUCAGAUUUUGAAAUAACUCGAGAUUACAUCCUGGUCUGAACCUUCUGCGGUGAAAUAACAGCAGAAAACUUUUGAUGGUAACCACAGCUCUCAGGACUGAACCUACGGUGUCUGGUCAGAGGCGUACCGCUGAAGAUUAAUUUGCAUAAAGUGAAGUUCUUGCUCAAAUUUAGGAAAUUUAGGUAAAUUGUAAUUCUCAAUCUACUGAAUUCAAGCAAUUAAGCUUUGGAACUUAAAUUAAUGACUUCUGAUUAAAUGUGAUUCAUUAUUGCAACUGUGACAAGUAUUAGUUCCAAAAUUAGUAAACUGGAGUAUCCUGAAAACUAAUGGACAGUUAAGAAACUUGUUGCUGCUUAGAAGACAAUUUUUCCUGUUUUCCCCUUCACAUUUAAUAAUUGAGUAUAUCCCCCUUAAAUCAAUUUCUUUGGUCAAAUUACCCCAGGUAAUAAAUUUACCUGGUUUUAACUUCUAAGAAGGACUCCUUAAAAAUUCUCAUUUGACAGAUUUUCAUCUAUUAUUGUUUUAAUAAAAGAACAGGUAGUUAUUCCAUUCCAUCUUAUUUUCUGUUGUUAUGGUGAAAUGAUUUUUUAUGACUAUGGUUUGACUACAGGUGUAUUCUCAUCAUAAGACUCAUAAUACUACAAGCUUUUUUCUGGAAAAGUAUAAAUUUUAAUUUUGGGCAGCAUGGCAGUCUUCUUUUGAAUCAACACCUUCUUAGUUGUAACCAGAACA
Molecule: long non-coding RNA, 1684 nt
Organism: Harpia harpyja (harpy eagle)
Lineage: Eukaryota; Metazoa; Chordata; Aves; Accipitriformes; Accipitridae
Exons: 3
Source: RefSeq, a predicted model, not a curated record